This 268-nucleotide ribosomal RNA is filed under the name uncultured eukaryote. RNAcentral's name for it is "partial 18S ribosomal RNA". The stretch from base 92 to 268 matches the Rfam family "Eukaryotic small subunit ribosomal RNA", at positions 737 to 919 of the family's 1831-position model. The record is from RNAcentral.
AUUUCUCGGCGGGGACCCAAGUACCCCUGGUGGGUGUGCUCGGGCCCGGCCAUCCUUCCGUAAACUUUCGCGCGUCCUUCACCGGUCGGCAAAGGGAUCAGAUAAUUUACCUUGAGAAAAUUAGAGUGUUUCAGGCAGGCUUAGCCGGAAUACAUUAGCAUGGAAUAAUGGAAUAGGACUGAGGUCUCGUUGUUGGUUACGCGGACUACAGUAAUGAUUAAUAGGGACAGUUGGGGGCAUUAGUAUUUAAUAGCUAGAGGUGGAAUUC